UUUUUCCAGAUUUAAUGUCAGUAUGUUUUUAAUAUCCAUUUUCUGAUAUUUUGCCACCUGUAUACUUGUUCUCCCACCAACCCCUUCCAUUUCCAUAGAAGUAGAAAAUGAGCUGGCUGGGUUUGUGACAGUGCCCUUACUCUUCACUGAUUUGGUGAAGAAGAUGAAGGCAGAAGCACUUGUUUCUAGAAGAUAAUGAUGGAAGAAAAUGUCACUGCUCCUUUGGAAAGAGUGGACAGAAUAAGGAGAGGAAAGAAGACUUUCUCUUAAAUGAGUGGCCAAGUUUCCCUCCCAGGGAAUUUCAUGCAGAACCUUUGUGGGGUGAUAGCCAAAGUCUUACAUCAUUAAGUUGCUCCAGAUUGUUACAAAGGUGUUGUUUUACUAGUGCAAUUGAGGCUUUCUACUGCUGUGUGCCCUAGUUCUAUAAAUAAAUAUUACAUUAGCUCUGUAUUUCUUUUUUUU
This 462-nucleotide long non-coding RNA is filed under the name Monodelphis domestica (gray short-tailed opossum). RNAcentral's name for it is "lncRNA (ENSMODG00000043240.1)". Lineage: Eukaryota; Metazoa; Chordata; Mammalia; Didelphimorphia; Didelphidae. The record is from RNAcentral.